AUUUACCCGCGUUAGGGAUUGAAACGGCAUCCUUUUUUAAGAGUUAUAUAGACUAAUUUUUACUUUAAACACGCAUUUAAUUGAUAGCCAUGUGUUUUGUUCUUGCUAUGCGACUUAAAAAAGAUAUAGUGGAAAGCCCGACCUUUA
Molecule: small RNA, 147 nt
Filed under: Algibacter pectinivorans
Lineage: Bacteria; Pseudomonadati; Bacteroidota; Flavobacteriia; Flavobacteriales; Flavobacteriaceae
Description: Pontirhabdus pectinovorans Flavo-1 RNA
Rfam family: Flavo-1 RNA
Source: Rfam by way of RNAcentral